CCUGAUCACUUUCACACCCAGCCAAGAGCCCUCCUCUUCCCUCCUAUUCCCUCCUAUUCCUACUUCUUUGGAUGUUUUCUCCCCUUUUGCUCUCCACCUUCCAAUCCAAAACUUUUGGUGCGUUUCCCCUGCACGGCAGGACACUCACAAGUUCACAGGGUUUCCAAGGAGCACCUGCCCCAAGACAGGAUGGAGAGCCGCCAUCGGAAAGGUGCUUGGGCAGCCAAGAGGGGAGGAAAUCAGAGCCAUGCCCCGCCCCCCCGGCCCUCUCCCUCAGGAGGGAUUCCCAGGCUCUGAGCGAACAAAAGUGCUCAGGGAAGAGCUUGGCAUACGGAUACCCCAAAGUCAGACAGGUAAAAUGAGACCUGGCUGACAUUCAGCUAUCCAGGAAUACGAGUGGUCCUGCUGGCUCUCCUUCACCAGAACAGAGUCCUGCAGACAUUUGCCCUGACUGACACUUUCCCAUGGAAAACAACCAAGGCCACCACUUGAGCAGAGCUGGGGAACACUGGCAGCAUCUGGGGAAGGAUAUUUCCUGCACUGUAUUAUCAGCCUGGCACUGGAUGACUGAUGCCAAAAUAUUUUAAUUGAAAAAG
Corvus hawaiiensis (hawaiian crow) is the source of this 596-nucleotide long non-coding RNA. RefSeq lists it as uncharacterized. Lineage: Eukaryota; Metazoa; Chordata; Aves; Passeriformes; Corvidae. The transcript is spliced from 3 exons. The record is from RefSeq and is a predicted model, not a curated record.